GCGGUCCGCGUAGACCCGGGACCCGCGCGGCGAAAGAAGGGUGCAGCGUCCCCUCCCAAACGGCGGUCAGUUUGGAAGCUCUGCCCCGCACAGGCCAGGCCCGGGAGAGCGGGAUUGGGUCCCAGCCUUUGUGGAUGAGGGCAUUGACAACUGGAAAGUCUUCCCACGAUGACAGGGCCCCUGGCUGAGUCAGAAGCAGGAAAAGACAGAGGUGCUCUGGAAGAAGCAUGCACCUGACUACCCAGACUCAUGGAAGUUCAUGAGUGCGUGGGGCUGCCAGAUCAAUGUGAAUGUCAGACAAACCAUGAACAGCUUGUUGUAUAAGUGUAUCUUGUGCAGUAUUUGGGACAUACUAACACUAAACAUUUAUGUGCUGCUUAUCUGAAAUUUAAAUUUAAUUGGA
Long non-coding RNA from Dama dama (fallow deer), 403 nucleotides. RefSeq lists it as uncharacterized. NCBI's taxonomy places the organism in Eukaryota, Metazoa, Chordata, Mammalia, Artiodactyla, Cervidae. The record is from RefSeq and is a predicted model, not a curated record. The transcript has 2 exons.